GCCGUGAGUAGUCUAAUUUAGGAUCGAUGGUUGUGGCCUAUCGGGUGCUUGUGCCUCCGGCA
RNAcentral lists this transfer RNA (62 nucleotides) under Lepidodermella squamata. RNAcentral describes it as "tRNA-His". Lineage: Eukaryota; Metazoa; Gastrotricha; Chaetonotida; Chaetonotidae. The record is from RNAcentral.